Molecule: ribosomal RNA, 307 nt
Filed under: uncultured soil bacterium
Lineage: Bacteria
Description: bacterial SSU rRNA
Rfam family: Bacterial small subunit ribosomal RNA
Source: RNAcentral
AGCCCACGGCUCAACCGUGGAGGGUCAUUGGAAACUGGGGGACUUGAGUGCAGAAGAGGAAAGUGGAAUUCCACGUGUAGCGGUGAAAUGCGUAGAGAUGUGGAGGAACACCAGUGGCGAAGGCGACUUUCUGGUCUGUAACUGACGCUGAGGCGCGAAAGCGUGGGGAGCAAACAGGAUUAGAUACCCUGGUAGUCCACGCCGUAAACGAUGAGUGCUAAGUGUUAGGGGGUUUCCGCCCCUUAGUGCUGCAGCUAACGCAUUAAGCACUCCGCCUGGGGAGUACGGCCGCAAGGCUGAAACUCAA